Molecule: long non-coding RNA, 640 nt
Filed under: Mytilus galloprovincialis (Mediterranean mussel)
Lineage: Eukaryota; Metazoa; Mollusca; Bivalvia; Mytilida; Mytilidae
Source: RNAcentral
CAGGUUUGUUGGAUAAUGACAUGAAAUCACUUGUUUAAGUACCAUACAUGUACCUCUAUUUUCAUCAAAAGAAUCACUUCUUUUUAUUUUAAUGACCCACACUAAUUUCAACACCCCCUGUUCAAACAGAGAAAUUUGUUCAACUAAUAUAGAAUUUACAGCUAAAUGCCUAAAUGGUUGCAUCAAAGGCAUAAACCUUGCUAUUUAAAAGAAUUGUUUUUUUCUUCCAAUUUUACUAAUAAGAUGUAAUCAUGAUAAUCAUGAUAAUAUAAACCUAUAUAUGUUUAAAAUUUUGGUAAAACUACAAAAUUUCAAUUUACAUUUGUAAGACAAAACUUCAAAUUUACACUUUAAUAUUCUUGUAAGUCCCCUGACUGUUUAUAUUUGGCAUUUUGCUAUUGUAUUAGUUCUUUGCAAAGCUCAUGCAUAUGAUUUUCUGCAAAGGCAAGCACAGUGUUGAAAAAUAUUAGCCUAAUAGGGCAGAUAUGCCUACGUAGGCAAUAUCCUUUUACUUCACAGCUUUUUUUUUGCUGGUUACUAGUACAAGGGAAUCAGUCCAACUUUAUUCAACAGUGCUUGUUUUGACAUGUUUUUUUCUUUCAACCAUUUAAUUUCUAUUACAAAAUACCAAAAUUGGAAG